GAUGAACGCUGGCGGCGUGCCUAAUACAUGCAAGUCGAGCGAACAGAUGAGGAGCUUGCUCCUCUGACGUUAGCGGCGGAGGGGUGAGUAACAUGUGGAUAACCUACCUAUAAGACGGGGAUAAUCUCGGGAAACCGGAGCAAAUACCGGAUAAUAUAUUGAACCGCAUGGUUCAAUAGUGAAAGACGGUUUUGCUGUCACUUAUAGAUGGAUCCGCGCCGCAUUAGCUAGUUGGUAAGGUAACGGCUUUCCAAGGCAACGAUGCGUAGCCGGCCUGAGAGGGUGAUCGGCCACACUGGAACUGAGACACGGUCCAGACUCCUACGGGAGGCAGCAGUAGGGAAUCUUCCGCAAUGGGCGAAAGCCUGACGGAGCAACGCCGCGUGAGUGAUGAAGGUCUUCGGAUCGUAAAACUCUGUUAUUAGGGAAGAACAAAUGUGUAAGUAACUAUGCACGUCUUGACGGUACCUAAUCAGAAAGCCACGGCUAACUACGUG
RNAcentral lists this ribosomal RNA (497 nucleotides) under uncultured bacterium. RNAcentral's name for it is "partial 16S ribosomal RNA". It matches the Rfam family "Bacterial small subunit ribosomal RNA", at positions 28 to 507 of the family's 1533-position model. The record is from RNAcentral.